Molecule: ribosomal RNA, 458 nt
Filed under: uncultured bacterium
Lineage: Bacteria
Description: partial 16S ribosomal RNA
Rfam family: Bacterial small subunit ribosomal RNA
Source: RNAcentral
CCUACGGGCGGCAGCAGUGAGGAAUAUUGGUCAAUGGGCGGGAGCUUGAACCAGCCAAGUCGCGUGAGGGAGUACUGCCCUAUGGGUUGUAAACCUCUUUUGUCGGGGAGCAAAAGCCGGACGUGUCCGGCUGUGAGAGUACCCGAAGAAAAAGCAUCGGCUAACUCCGUGCCAGCAGCCGCGGUAAUACGGAGGAUGCGCGCGUUAUCCGGAUUUAUUGGGUUUAAAGGGUGCGCAGGCGGAUGUUUAAGUCAGUGGUAAAAGCGUGGGGCUAAACCCCAUCCAGCCGUUGAAACUGGGAAUCUAGAGUGGGCGAGAGGCAUGCGGAAUGCGUGGUGUAGCGGUGAAAUGCAUAGAUAUCACGAAGAACCCCGAUUGCGAAGGCAGCAUACCGGAGCACAACUGACGCUGAGGCACGAAAGCGUGGGUAUCGAACAGGAUUAGAUACCCUGGUAGUC